AUUGAACGCUGGCGGCAGGCCUAACACAUGCAAGUCGAACGGUAGCACAGAGAGCUUGCUCUCGGGUGACGAGUGGCGGACGGGUGAGUAAUGUCUGGGAAACUGCCCGAUGGAGGGGGAUAACUACUGGAAACGGUAGCUAAUACCGCAUAACGUCGCAAGACCAAAGUGGGGGACCUCCGGGCCUCACACCAUCGGAUGUGCCAAGAUGGGAUUAGCUAGUAGGCGGGGUAAUGGCCAACCUAGGGGACGAUCCCUAGCUGGUCAGAGAGAAUGAGCAGCCACACUGGAACUGAGACACGGUCCAGACUCCUACGGGAGGCAGCAGUGGGGAAUAUUGCACAAUGGGCGCAAGCCUGAUGCAGCCAUGCCGCGUGUAUGAAGAAGGCCUUCGGGUUGUAAAGUACCUUCAGCGGGGAGGAAGGCGGUGAAGUUAAUAACUUCACCGAUUGACGUUACCCGCAGAAGAAGCACCGGCUAACUCCGUGCCAGCCGCCGCGGUAA
RNAcentral lists this ribosomal RNA (504 nucleotides) under uncultured bacterium. RNAcentral describes it as "partial 16S ribosomal RNA". It matches the Rfam family "Bacterial small subunit ribosomal RNA", at positions 29 to 523 of the family's 1533-position model. The record is from RNAcentral.